UGAUGGCUGCUGUUAACCUAAACAACUCUCA
Molecule: non-coding RNA, 31 nt
Filed under: Rattus norvegicus (Norway rat)
Lineage: Eukaryota; Metazoa; Chordata; Mammalia; Rodentia; Muridae
Source: RNAcentral